UCGAGAAUCUUCCGCAAUGGGCGAAAGCCUGACGGAGCAAUGCCGCGUGGUGGAUGAAGGCCCUCGGGUUGUAAACACCUGUCAGUAGGGAGGAAAUUUUGACCGAUCUACAGAGGAAGUCCGGGCUAAGUACGUGCCAGCAGCCGCGGUAAUACGUACCGGACGAACGUUAUUCGGAAUCACUGGGCUUAAAGAGUACGUAGGCUGCCUUGAAGGUGAGAUGUGAAAUCCCAUGGCCUAACCAUGGAACUGCAUUUCAAACCACAAGGCUUGAGGGAGACAGGGGUAAGCGGAACUCACAGUGGAGCGGUGAAAUGCGUUGAUAUUGUGAGGAACACCGGUGGCGAAGGCGGCUUACUGGGUCUUUUCUGACGCUGAGGUACGAAAGCUAGGGUAGCGAACGGGAUUAGAUACCCGCGUAGUCC
This 425-nucleotide ribosomal RNA is filed under the name uncultured prokaryote. Its description in RNAcentral is "bacterial SSU rRNA". It matches the Rfam family "Bacterial small subunit ribosomal RNA", at positions 355 to 796 of the family's 1533-position model. The record is from RNAcentral.